RNAcentral lists this ribosomal RNA (354 nucleotides) under uncultured bacterium. Its description in RNAcentral is "bacterial SSU rRNA". It matches the Rfam family "Bacterial small subunit ribosomal RNA", at positions 1 to 334 of the family's 1533-position model. The record is from RNAcentral.
CUAGCGACUUCAGAGUUUGAUCCUGGCUCAGGACGAACGCUGGCGGCAUGCCUAACACAUGCAAGUCGAACGGAGCCAUGGAAAGAUUCCUUCGGGAUGAUUUUCCGGAAGCUUAGUGGCGGACGGGUGAGUAACGCGUGAGUAACCUGCCCUUGAGAGGGGAAUAACACACCGAAAGGUGUGCUAAUACCGCAUAACAUAUUGAAGUCGCAUGGCUUUAAUAUCAAAGAUUUAUCGCUCAAGGAUGGACUCGCGUCUGAUUAGCUAGUUGGUGAGGUAGCGGCUCACCAAGGCGACGAUCAGUAGCCGAACUGAGAGGUUGAUCGGCCACAUUGGGACUGAGACACGGCCCAG